Molecule: ribosomal RNA, 406 nt
Filed under: uncultured bacterium
Lineage: Bacteria
Description: partial 16S ribosomal RNA
Rfam family: Bacterial small subunit ribosomal RNA
Source: RNAcentral
AUUGAACGCUGGCGGCAGGCCUAACACAUGCAAGUCGAACGAGUGGCGGACGGGUGAGUAAUGUCUGGGAAACUGCCUGAUGGAGGGGGAUAACUACUGGAAACGGUAGCUAAUACCGCAUACCAUCGGAUGUGCCCACAUGGGAUUAGCUAGUAGGUGGGGUAAAGGCUCACCUAGGCGACGAUCCCUAGCUGGUCUGAGAGGAUGACCAGCCAAACGGGAACUGAGACAAGGUCCAGACUCCUACGGGAGGCAGCAGUGGGGAAUAUUGCACAAGGGGCGCAAGCCCUAUGCAGACAGUCCGGGUGUAUGAAGAAGGCCUUCGGGUUGUAAAGUACUUUCAGCGGGGAGGAGUUACCCGCAGAAGAAGGACCGGCUAACUCCGUGCCAGCAGCCGCGGUAAUUC